UACAGAGGGGGCAAGCGUUAUUCGGAAUUAUUGGGCGUAAAGGGCGCGUAGGCGGCUUGGCAAGUGGAAGGUGAAAUCCCUCGGCUUAACCGAGGAACUGCCCUCCAAACUGCUUCGCUUGAGACCGGGAGAGGUGAGUGGAAUUCCCAGUGUAGCGGUGAAAUGCGUAGAUAUUGGGAGGAACACCAGUGGCGAAGGCGGCUCACUGGACCGGUACUGACGCUGAGGAGCGAAAGCGUGGGGAGCGAACAGG
RNAcentral lists this ribosomal RNA (253 nucleotides) under uncultured bacterium. Its description in RNAcentral is "partial 16S ribosomal RNA". It matches the Rfam family "Bacterial small subunit ribosomal RNA", at positions 524 to 776 of the family's 1533-position model. The record is from RNAcentral.